This 468-nucleotide ribosomal RNA is filed under the name uncultured bacterium. RNAcentral's name for it is "partial 16S ribosomal RNA". It matches the Rfam family "Bacterial small subunit ribosomal RNA", at positions 28 to 507 of the family's 1533-position model. The record is from RNAcentral.
GACGAACGCUGGCGGCGUGCUUAACACAUGCAAGUCGAACGGAAAGGCCCUGCUUUUGUGGGGUGCUCGAGUGGCGAACGGGUGAGUAACACGUGAGUAACCUGCCCUUGACUUUGGGAUAACUUCAGGAAACUGGGGCUAAUACCGGAUAGGAGCUCCUGCUGCAUGGUGGGGGUUGGAAAGUUUCGGCGGUUGGGGAUGGACUCGCGGCUUAUCAGCUUGUUGGUGGGGUAGUGGCUUACCAAGGCUUUGACGGGUAGCCGGCCUGAGAGGGUGACCGGCCACAUUGGGACUGAGAUACGGCCCAGACUCCUACGGGAGGCAGCAGUGGAGAGUGUUGCACAAUGGGCGGAAGCCUAAUGCAGCAACGCCGCGUGCGGGAUGACGGCCUUCGGGUUGUAAACCGCUUUCGCCUGUGACGAAGCGUGAGUGACGGUAAUGGGUAAAGAAGCACCGGCUAACUACGUG